RNAcentral lists this ribosomal RNA (301 nucleotides) under uncultured bacterium. RNAcentral's name for it is "partial 16S ribosomal RNA". It matches the Rfam family "Bacterial small subunit ribosomal RNA", at positions 509 to 807 of the family's 1533-position model. The record is from RNAcentral.
CAGUAGCCGCGGUAAAACGAAGGGUGCAAGCGUUACUCGGAAUUACUGGGCGUAAAGCGUGCGUAGGUGGUGGUUUAAGUCCGUUGUGAAAGCCCUGGGCUCAACCUGGGAAUUGCAGUGGAUACUGGAUCACUAGAGUGUGGUAGAGGAUAGUGGAAUUUCCGGUGUAGCAGUGAAAUGCGCAGAGAUCGGAAGGAACAUCUGUGGCGAAGGCGACUAUCUGGGCCAACACUGACACUGAGGCACGAAAGCGUGGGGAGCAAACAGGAUUAGAUACCCCCGUAGUCCCUGUCUCUUAUAC